AGGGUAACGUAGUCAUUUUCCGCA
This 24-nucleotide non-coding RNA is filed under the name Arabidopsis thaliana (thale cress). Lineage: Eukaryota; Viridiplantae; Streptophyta; Magnoliopsida; Brassicales; Brassicaceae. The record is from RNAcentral.